CGACUAAAUAACAUAAUGUACCUCUCUCUCAUUCAUCUUCAAAGGUAUGCGUUUGUUUUAUAUGGUUCAUUUGAAUAUUUUGAACGAGUGUUUUGGUUCACAUAACUACCUCUUCACAAUGAUACUUAAAUUUCACUUUGCUGUAGGGUUCGUGGAGCUAAGCCAUUCAGCAGGGAUUGUUAACUUUCUAUUUUAAAGUACUGAAGCUGUGAACAAGUAAGCUACCUGCUUCUACAUUCUUUUCCACAGUAAUUUAAUUUCAGUUUUUUCAUAGUUUACAACUUUUUCAUUUGUACUAAAAUUAAUAAGGACUACCAAAAUACACGGUUAAAAACAUAGUCAAAUAAACAAGACUUAUUUACACAUAUGAAAAGUUUAUCUUAAAACAUUGUUAUAAUAGGUUUUUGUACUAAAAAUUCAAAAACACACACAUAUAUAUGAUAAGGCUAUAAAUGUUGAUAGUUUACACACAAAUACAUAUCUUCUUUUUGUUGUCAAACAUACACAAAUAUAACUAUGUUAUGGUGUAGAUAUAUUCAAAAUUAUAAAGAAAGAUCUUUAUGAAGAAAAAUAUUUUAAUGAGAGAAAAAUUUGGGUUAUUUACAAAGAAAAGAGUUAAUUAAGAUACAAAUACGUCUUCUAGAAAAACACCUACAUUCAAACACUAUAACUAAUAGCCACAGAGAUAAAUAAAAAAGUUCAAGAUCCAAUGGUGUUGGCUUGGUUUGACUUCAACCGUCAUUCUCAUUGACAUAUUCAAGUACUAUUAAGUGUAAUCUAAGUUCAAAAAAUCUUUUCAGGUUUUUAGAAGGACCAACGUCGACAAAGAUUUGAGGACAUACGACAGUGAAGUCUACCAUUCAUACAAAGAGGUUUGUUUGGUUAGAGGAUUAAUUAGUAUACAAGCAUUUGUUACUUUAUACGUUUAUAAAAUAUAAACUCUAAUUUUUUUUUCCUCAACACACGUAUAAACUAUAUAUAGUACAAUAUAUUUGUAAUUUUUCAUCCUAGCACUUGCUCUUUUUACUCUUUACC
Molecule: long non-coding RNA, 1035 nt
Filed under: Capsella rubella
Lineage: Eukaryota; Viridiplantae; Streptophyta; Magnoliopsida; Brassicales; Brassicaceae
Description: long non-coding RNA (CRUB_LNC001779)
Source: RNAcentral